This 82-nucleotide transfer RNA is filed under the name Xylaria grammica. It matches the Rfam family "tRNA". From Rfam's summary of the family: Transfer RNA (tRNA) molecules are approximately 80 nucleotides in length. Lineage: Eukaryota; Fungi; Ascomycota; Sordariomycetes; Xylariales; Xylariaceae. The record is from Rfam by way of RNAcentral. RNAcentral also lists the same sequence under 1 other name.
GGUCGGGUGGCCUAAUGGCUAAGGCAUUGAUUUCCGGCUUUGGAUAUGUCAAAGAUUGCGGGUUCGAGUCCCGUCCUGAUCG